Molecule: long non-coding RNA, 1191 nt
Filed under: Cucumis sativus (cucumber)
Lineage: Eukaryota; Viridiplantae; Streptophyta; Magnoliopsida; Cucurbitales; Cucurbitaceae
Description: long non-coding RNA (CSAT_LNC000496)
Source: RNAcentral
CAAAGUUAAAAGUAUAUGUGAAAUGAAAUGUGUAGGUUGAUUUAUCAUAUUAUCAAUUAUGAACAAUAGCUCCAAAUAAUAAUUGUAGAACACAUUCUAAUACUUCAAUUUCUUUAAAAUAUAAAAUAUGUCAAGCAUGUUUCUCUUUAUGGAAAUAAUAAUCAUGUACACCAUAAGAGUUUUUAAAUAGCAUACAAGCUUCUAACACCAACCCCUUUCUUUAAUAAUUUGAUUUUUUUUUUUUUUUUCUUUUUGGUUCUUUCAAUUCUUGUUUGCACUUGUGCUCAAGAGUAUGGAGUGGAGAUUGAUAUUGGUUACCAUCCUAUGAUGGUUGAACUAAAAAAGAUAAUAUAAAUAGUUCCUAGAUGGGAGUGGAAAUUUUGAAUCUUUGAUUUGUGGAACGAGUUGAGCUAAUGAUCUCAUAAUUAAGAUGGGUCAACUUAAACUUAUAUAUUAUGUCUUUUUUGGGAAUGACAGACAGACAAGGCUUCUAUGCUGGAUGAGAUCAUAGACUAUGUAAAGUUCCUCCAGCUUCAAGUCAAAGUAAAUGAUCUCUCUAAUUUUCUAUUCUCUGUCUCUCACAAUAAUUCCAACGUAAAAACAUGAUAAAUUAAAUUAAAGAAUUUGGAUUGGGAUAUGAAAUUUAUUUAAUGUAUACAUAUAUUAAGUGGGUUUUGCUUUUUGUUAUUGUUGGGUUUGUGGUCUGCUGCAGGUUCUGAGUGUCAGCAGGUUGGGCGGUGCCACUGCAGCCAUGCCUUCUCGUCUACCCGAUCUUUCCACUGAGGUACCCUAAUAUUGCUUCAAAUUACAAAUUUGGUUCAAGUGAAAUUUUUAUAUCCUCCUCUGAAUAACUAUUUGAUUUUUAAAAGAAAUCUAUUAACCAUCAUAAUUGUUUUUUAAAAUUUAAGAGUCUGUAACCAUCAUAACCAUAUUUGGUUUAAAGUUAUUAAACCAGAUCAAAAUUUGCAAUACAAUUUUUUUUUUUUUACCUUAUCCAUACUUUUUUUUGGAGUCAUGAAAAGGAUAGCAUAAUAAGGACCCAUUGAAACUACUUUAGGUGAAGAAAAUUCAACUCUCCACAACAAAAAAAUUCACACACAACCAUCAUCAUUCAUCAUGGAAAAGGACGCAUGAGAUAAUCCUUAAUUCAUGAAUAUUGAUAAUAUAAGAUUUCAUUAUCAAGUAUCCACU